Molecule: long non-coding RNA, 142 nt
Organism: Amblyraja radiata (thorny skate)
Lineage: Eukaryota; Metazoa; Chordata; Chondrichthyes; Rajiformes; Rajidae
Exons: 3
Source: RefSeq, a predicted model, not a curated record
GUUGGUGAGACUUGAGUAGAAUAAUAAUUCAAAGAGUCAAAGGUCUCGUUGAACAAACUUUUACUCUGUCACCCGGGUGAAAAUAGGACACAGCCAGUAGUGGGUCUGAAGGGUUUCGGCCCGAAUCGUCGCCUAUUUCCUU